RNAcentral lists this ribosomal RNA (253 nucleotides) under uncultured bacterium. Its description in RNAcentral is "partial 16S ribosomal RNA". It matches the Rfam family "Bacterial small subunit ribosomal RNA", at positions 524 to 776 of the family's 1533-position model. The record is from RNAcentral.
UACGAAGGGGGCUAGCGUUGCUCGGAAUCACUGGGCGUAAAGCGCACGUAGGCGGAUCUUUAAGUCAGGGGUGAAAUCCCAAGGCUCAACCUUGGAACUGCCUUUGAUACUGGGGAUCUCGAGUCCGGAAGAGGUGAGUGGAACUGCGAGCGUAGAGGUGAAAUUCGUAGAUAUUCGCAAGAACACCAGUGGCGAAGGCGGCUCACUGGUCCGGUACUGACGCUGAGGUGCGAAAGCGUGGGGAGCAAACAGG